This 506-nucleotide ribosomal RNA is filed under the name uncultured bacterium. RNAcentral's name for it is "partial 16S ribosomal RNA". It matches the Rfam family "Bacterial small subunit ribosomal RNA", at positions 30 to 523 of the family's 1533-position model. The record is from RNAcentral.
AUUGAACGCUAACGGCAUGCUUAACACAUGCAAGUCGAACGGCAGCACAGCAGUAGCAAUACUGUGGGUGGCGAGUGGCGGACGGGUGAGUAAUGUAUAGGAAUCUGCCUUGUAGUGGGGGAUAACCUGGGGAAACUCGGGCUAAUACCGCAUAAUCUUUACGAAGCAAAGCGGGGGAUCGUAAGACCUUGCGCUAUAAGAUGAGCCUAUAUUGGAUUAGCUAGUUGGUGGGGUAAAGGCCUACCAAGGCGACGAUCCAUAGCUGGUCUGAGAGGAGGAUCAGCCACACUGGGACUGAGACACGGCCCAGACUCCUACGGGAGGCAGCAGUGGGGAAUAUUGGACAAUGGGGGAAACCCUGAUCCAGCAAUGCCGUGUGUGUGAAGAAGGCCUUCGGGUUGUAAAGCACUUUUAGUGGGAAAGAAAAGCUCAAAGCUAAUAACUUUGAGCCUUGACGUUACCCACAGAAAAAGCACUGGCUAACUCUGUGCCAGCCGCCGCCGUAA